RNAcentral lists this ribosomal RNA (421 nucleotides) under uncultured bacterium. Its description in RNAcentral is "partial 16S ribosomal RNA". It matches the Rfam family "Bacterial small subunit ribosomal RNA", at positions 360 to 773 of the family's 1533-position model. The record is from RNAcentral.
AAUAUUGGACAAUGGGCGAAAGCCUGAUCCAGCCAUGCCGCGUGUGUGAAGAAGGUCUUCGGAUUGUAAAGCACUUUAAGUUGGGCGGAAGGGCAGUAAGUUAAUACCUUGCUGUUUUGACGUUACCGGCAGAAUAAGCACCGGCUAACUUCGUGCCAGCAGCCGCGGUAAUACCGCGGGUGCAAGCGUUAAUCGGAAUUACUGGGCGUAAAGAGCGCGUAGGUGGUUUGUUAAGUUGGAAGGGAAAGCCCCGGGCUCAACCUGGGAACUGCUUUCAUAACUGCUGAGCUAGAGUACGGUAGAGGGUAGUGGAAUUUCCUGUGUAGCGGUGAAAUGCGUAGAUAUAGGAAGGAACACCAGUGGCGAAGGCGACUACCUGGACUGAUACUGACACUGAGGUGCGAAAGCGUGGGGAGCAAAC